Long non-coding RNA from Scophthalmus maximus (turbot), 4393 nucleotides. RefSeq lists it as uncharacterized. NCBI's taxonomy places the organism in Eukaryota, Metazoa, Chordata, Actinopteri, Pleuronectiformes, Scophthalmidae. The record is from RefSeq and is a predicted model, not a curated record. The transcript is spliced from 2 exons.
CCAAGCCUUCCAAUAAAACAGUUUCAAGGACUACAAAAUAUAAGUUUUGAAUAACUGAAUCAUAUCUGUGCAUUCCAAUGAAAAUUCAAUUAAACAUAAUUUUAUUAUCUGUAGCUUUUUGAAUAUACAGCUGUGUGUUUGGCAAUAAUUGAGGUGUUGCGGAUCAAGGACCCCCAGCAAAGUUAGCAUUUCAGUGUGGAAACAACAGUAAUGAACUUCUUGCUACCAAUGAAAGAUGUCAAAGAGAGGUGAGCCACAGACCUUGAGGUAGGAUUGAGACCCACUUCAGCAACAAUUCCUUUAAUUCACUUCAUUGGAGCCAAAACUGAAUGAAUCAGGCUGAGCUCAAAUAACUCUGGUUCAUCAAAUUAAGUUUUAUAGCCUAAUGAAAAUUUGAGCAAGGGACAAAAGGAAAGUGUGUGUGUGUGUGUGUGUGUGUGUGUGUGUGUGUGUGUGUGUGUGUGUGUGUGUGUGUGUGUGUGUGUGUGUGUGUGUGUGUGUGUGUGUGUGUGUGUGUGUGUGUGUGUGUGUGUGUGUGUGUGUGUGUGGCCUGUACAAUUUAGCGUCACAACAUUCAAACCCAAAAGAUUGCAUAGAGUUCACGCCUUAUACAAAUCACUUAACAUUAAAGGAUUCUUUACACUAUGUGUGCACAUUAAUCACCUUUAAUUAGAAAAUUGUAUGGGUGAACUACCCCAAAAGUUUUGAGAAUGAAUGCGUUCAAAGAAGACCAAGUUAACGUUAUAGCAUAUUUCAUCAAAGAAUUUCACCCACGCUAAUAGCUGAUUUGGUGAUUCCUCCACAAAGCCUGUUGUGUUUGAUCAACUGCUUUGAUCUUUAAUUCUCUUUACACGAAGUAGAAUUGAAUCAGGAUAAUAUAAUACCGCCACUUGAUGAAAUACUUUCAGGGACAUUACUUUAGGUCCGGUUUCUAAGAUAUAAGGAUCUGAAGCACAGAUGAAUUAGGUAUACUCAUUAGGAAUACUGUUAAAGUGUAAAACGAUUUGUAUUUUUGUUCCUUAGCCGUAUUAGCCUUUGAAAAAUCUCCUUGCUAGAAGUGCUAAAAAAGUACACAUGAACAUACAAAUGUGAAAGCCAUAGAUUCUGUCACUCUGCUACAGUUGAUUUAAGUUCGAGCUCUUCCUGUCAGGAGUAGCAAAACCUCCCAGUGUGGGCUUGGUGAUUUUUGUGGUUUAAGCGUUGUAGCAUUAGCACAUCCGUCCACAGCAGUUUCCACAAACUGCCUUUUAAGAGUUGCGACAUGCUCCGGUUUCUGUGUCAGCACCAAGGACAGCGACAGCUGAUUCCACAGAGAGGGGACGGGUGAAGGUUUGUGUUGUGGGGCUGGAGGGCUGGAGAGUGUAAAGGCAGAGCUGCUAACAGAUUGUAUGUUCUCAGUCUCACACCAGAAACGAGUGAAGGGGAAUGUUGUCAAGACACUCAUUGGGAAUUCUUGCCUCCAGACAAAUAGUGUUUCUCGUCAGGGAGAGACCAAGCACUACUACUUUUGAGGAAGUUCAGCUUGUGCUGUUUGCAAUGUGAAGAUCAAUUUGAUGUGUAUAUUUGAAGAAGUUUGUAUUGAAUGACACUUUGACUGUUCCACAUAGAAGGAGAAUAUUAAGAGGAAAAAGAAUGUUAUUUUUUGGAGGUCAAUUUUUCGCAUGUGUUUUCGCACUGCAGAUAGAGGCGUCAACCAGUCACUGUACACAGGACUAGUUUACCUCCAGACAUGCUGCCGGACUCCGCUCUGGGUCAAUAGGAUCCCGUUAUGAUCCUGGGCCUCCAGCAGGAACUCAAACUGUCUCGCUGACAUCCUAAAAUUCGUAUCACUGUUGGCCGUUAAUUUCUUCCUCUGCCCGCGAUGAACUAAAAUAUAAGGUCAUGGAUGCCUGCCGCUGUGGCACCACCCGACUGAUUGUCUUUCUCUCCCUUCCUCCCCGCCUCUCAUUCUUACCUCCCCGUUCCCCACAGCCUCCCGAGUACAUUAAAACUCUUUACCUAUUCUAUCUGUAUGUUAAUGCACCUGGCUGCUGCUCCUUUUUUUUCCUCCUCCUCCUCUUCCUCCUCUGCUGUACAGAAAGUGCUACCAUUUGCUCUCAGUUUUUCAUCUGUCCACCUCAUUUCUCCUGGUGGGUAAUGCGGGAAAUAACACACUAGUAUACACACUGAGCAAAUAAUGUUAUUUUAUGACCAUACAAACUCGACUAGUAGCUCUAGUUUUGCUCAUCAGGUUUCAGCAUGUGGUUUCUCUAAUCACUGGUAUAGCUUUUAUUGAUGCUGUUAUUGUCACUGGGAUUUUAGCCCAUUAGACGUUCUUUAAAGGGCUGCUGUUUGAUUGCAUGCCUGCUCUUGAUGGGUUCUGUCCCUGAAGCUUGACGCAGUCUGUUACAACUAGUGUUGAAUUUGUUAACAAAAACUGUGACUGAAUAUGUUCGUCAAACAACCCUUUUUUUUGAGAGACGAAAAGAUAACAAGACGGCACCGACGUCAUUGAAAACUACCUGUGACUACAUCAGCAUGCAGUAUCACUGAUGAAAAAGGAGAAGAGUAAGAUGUAGUAUAAAAGAUAAAACCUUUACCAAUGUGUCUUUAUUUUUUUGUUGAGACUCAUUAUAAACUUUAUUUUUUCCAAUGCAGCAGUUUUAUUUCCUUUUUUCUUUUUUUUUUACACCUUUAGAUGUUAGGGGGUCUUUUAAGUUUUUUUUUAAUAAAUUAGGCAUUUGAAUGGACUUCUCAUUAUAUGCGAUAUUUGUUAUGUUUUAGCAUAACAAAUUGUCUUAUUACUGUGCUCUGCUUGCGAGUUUAUUGUGAUGGACACAGCGUGUGACGAGUAAAUCAGUGGCUCGUUAUUCGAUAGCUCACCCGAGAGCCUCGACACCAGUGGAGCCUGGAUGGUUUACACCAUGACUCAUAAUCCGUUUGUCAGUUUGUUGGUCGCUAAUUAAUCAAUGAGAAAUCUCUAACCGAGCUCCGUCUGUCUUUAUUCAUCCCAAUGCUUCUCUUGUAUCAGUAAGAGAUCGUUCUCCCAUUUUUUCUCAGUGCCUUCUUUUGUAAAGAAUCACAUGAUGAGCCAUCAGAGAGGAAAAGUGAGUGGGUUUUUCUCCCCUUAUACUGAUGCAUCUUUCAUUGCGGACACCCUAUCCUGUCAUCAUAAGCUAAUGACGUUGGUCAGUUGAGGAGACUUUCCAUUGGCCCGCUUCCAGGACGUUGGCGGCAGGUAUUUGGUGAUGACCCAUCCUGUCUGGGGUUUCUUGCUUUUGGUUUUAAACAGGCUGUCUUUCUCCUCCCCCUUUUCCAUCAAUGCAAAGCCCGGUCUGUGUGCAGCACCUAUUGGCUCAUUUACCAAGCUUUGGGACAAGAGAGACAGAGAAUAUAGUGUUAGUGACCCAUUACAUAUUUGUUAAUUUAUAGAACAAACACGUUGUCUUACGUAUUUGUGUACCUGUUUUUUUGCCUUUGUGCAUUUUUGUGCUUGAAUGAAGAACAAGAGUGAUGAUCCCCAUAUACCCUCAUAUUCUUUGAUUGUGAUUUGAUGGACAUUUCAUUUUCUCCCUCCCCCCUCCCGCCUCCCCCAUCCGUCGCACCCCAGCCAGCAGCCUUCAAACAGCCUUUUAGCACCCUUGUCAAUGCAGCCCUCCUAUUCUGCCCCUCUAUUCAUACGCACACAUAGACACGCACACAAAUAUGUCGCCCCCUUUCAACCCUGGAGACACCAGAUGAGUCCCUUGUUUUUUUGUUUUUUUUUUCACAAAGGAACCCCUCCUUCCUCUGACUGUCCCUAAAAUCUAGUUAGGACUCAAACACGCACACGCGCAGUUUUGAACUGCACUUGAACUGUGGAUGUUUAUUAUCAACAAAUGUCUGACUAGUUAAUAGGAAUCCAUAUUAAUAUCUGUCAUUAACCAUGUCACAUUGGAACCACUGACCCUCCCCAUCCACACUUGCUCCUAAUGUUUCCAUUGAUUUCCAUUCAUUCAUCAGGACAAACAACAUGGGUAGAAUGUCUAAUGUCCAUGUUAUCUCUUCUACACCAUUUUUUUGAGUCCUAUAGUCUUUUCUUUCUGUCUUUGUUUGUCUUUGUGUUUUUGCAUACUGCUGAGCCAGUGAUGACAUAAGGAAAUAAUGUCCCCUACUGGCAUGGUGAUACCACUUUGUUGAAACAGACAUUCAGUGGACUGGGGACAAGGUAACACACAUUGUCCUUAUGAUGACUCAUAUCUUUCAUUUUUGAUAAAGUAGCAGAUCGUUCCAAACAUUUAUCCAUCUGUGCAGUGUACGAGCUUCCUUAAUUCUUCAACAGUGAUGGAGCUGAUCUUUGUGUUUGGGUUUCAUGGGAUAUUCACAAUUUUGCUGAUUCUGCAUUAUUUGAAAAUUAAAAAACAAAAGAACAAAA